This 325-nucleotide long non-coding RNA is filed under the name Elaeis guineensis (African oil palm). Its description in RNAcentral is "long non-coding RNA (EGUI_LNC034828)". The record is from RNAcentral. Lineage: Eukaryota; Viridiplantae; Streptophyta; Magnoliopsida; Arecales; Arecaceae.
UGCACUUGGCUUAUCCAAUAAACCAAUUGGACUUGAUCCAAUCAAGCCCAAACUAAAUCUAAUUAAAUCAUAUUCAAUUAGACUUAAUCUCAGCCCAUUGGCUUAAUCAAAUUAAGCCAAUUAGCAAUCAAAUUACUAAUCGAUCCUCCUGCAAUACUUGCACUAGGUUAAAUGUCAAUCAUAUUGAUCAUUUAACCCUAGAACGAUUCUUAAUCGUUGAUCAACCAUCUGAUUGGAUCAUGAACUCUAAUGUGUGUGACCUCAUAGGUCCGAACCUAAACUGGUAGCAUAGAAAUAAAUUUUUGUAUCAAUCGAAGUGACCAUC